This 497-nucleotide ribosomal RNA is filed under the name uncultured bacterium. Its description in RNAcentral is "partial 16S ribosomal RNA". It matches the Rfam family "Bacterial small subunit ribosomal RNA", at positions 28 to 507 of the family's 1533-position model. The record is from RNAcentral.
GAUGAACGCUGGCGGCGUGCCUAAUACAUGCAAGUCGAGCGAACGGACGAGAAUCUUGCUUCUCUGAUGUUAGCGGCGGACGGGUGAGCAACACGUGGAUAACCUACCUAUAAGACUGGGAUAACUUCGGGAAACCGGAGCUAAUACCGGAUAAUAUUUUGAACCGCAUGGUUCAAAAGUGAAAGACGGUCUUGCUGUCACUUAUAGAUGGAUCCGCGCUGCAUUAGCUAGUUGGUAAGGUAACGGCUUACCAAGGCAACGAUGCAUAGCCGACCUGAGAGGGUGAUCAGCCACACUGGAACUGAGACACGGUCCAGACUCCUACGGGAGGCAGCAGUAGGGAAUCUUCCGCAAUGGGCGAAAGCCUGACGGAGCAACGCCGCGUGAGUGAUGAAGGUCUUCGGAUCGUAAAACUCUGUUAUUAGGGAAGAACAUAUGUGUAAGUAACUGUGCACAUCUUGACGGUACCUAAUCAGAAAGCCACGGCUAACUACGUG